UGACAAUUGUACUAUGAUGUAAUGUAAGAGAUUACAGUAUGUUAUGUAAUGAGGUAUAUUGAGGUUAUAGUUGUGCUUGACCCUAUGAGUAUUGUAAUCCCUUGUUGAUACAUGAUCUUAAUGUCUAUUGAUGUUUAUGUUUAACCAACUCAACUUAUAAUGUAUCGCCCAUUGGGGCAUUGAUGAGAUCCCACUGAGGGGUCAAGUUUAUGAAUAUGUUAGUGCAUGCACAGGUUGAGUUUGGUGUAUGAG
This 252-nucleotide long non-coding RNA is filed under the name Manihot esculenta (cassava). RNAcentral describes it as "long non-coding RNA (MESC_LNC006002)". Lineage: Eukaryota; Viridiplantae; Streptophyta; Magnoliopsida; Malpighiales; Euphorbiaceae. The record is from RNAcentral.